UUGAACGCUGGCGGCAUGCCUUACACAUGCAAGUCGAACGGUAACGCGGGGCAACCUGGCGACGAGUGGCGAACGGGUGAGUAAUAUAUCGGAACGUGCCCAGUAGUGGGGGAUAGCCCGGCGAAAGCCGGAUUAAUACCGCAUACGACCUACGGGUGAAAGGGGGGGAUCGCAAGACCUCUCGCUAUUGGAGCGGCCGAUAUCAGAUUAGGUAGUUGGUGGGGUAAAAGCCUACCAAGCCGACGAUCUGUAGCUGGUCUGAGAGGACGACCAGCCACACUGGGACUGAGACACGGCCCAGACUCCUACGGGAGGCAGCAGUGGGGAAUUUUGGACAAUGGGCGCAAGCCUGAUCCAGCCAUGCCGCGUGCGGGAAGAAGGCCUUCGGGUUGUAAACCGCUUUUGUCAGGGAAGAAAAGUUCUGGGUUAAUACCCUGGGGCGAUGACGGUACCUGAAGAAUAAGCACCGGCUAACUACGU
This 480-nucleotide ribosomal RNA is filed under the name uncultured bacterium. RNAcentral describes it as "bacterial SSU rRNA". It matches the Rfam family "Bacterial small subunit ribosomal RNA", at positions 30 to 506 of the family's 1533-position model. The record is from RNAcentral.